This 460-nucleotide ribosomal RNA is filed under the name uncultured bacterium. RNAcentral describes it as "partial 16S ribosomal RNA". It matches the Rfam family "Bacterial small subunit ribosomal RNA", at positions 338 to 795 of the family's 1533-position model. The record is from RNAcentral.
CCUACGGGAGGCAGCAGUGAGGAAUAUUGGUCAAUGGCCGGAAGGCUGAACCAGCCAUGCCGCGUGAAGGUCAGUGCCCUAUGGGCGUUAAACUUCUUUUGUGCGGGAGCAAUAAUGGUCACGUGUGGCCAGACGAGAGUACCGUACGAAUAAGCAUCGGCUAACUCCGUGCCAGCAGCCGCGGUAAUACGGGGGAUGCGAGCGUUAUCCGGAUUUAUUGGGUUUAAAGGGUGCGUAGGCUGUGAGGUAAGUCAGCGGUGAAAUGCCCCCGGUCAACGGGGUGGAGUGCCAUUGAUACUGGCGUGCUGGAAUGCGGAUGCCGUGGGAGGAAUGUGUGGUGUAGCGGUGAAAUGCAUAGAGAUCACGCAGAACACCGAUUGCGAAGGCAUCUCACGGAUCCGCGAUUGACGCUGAUGCACGAAAGCGUGGGUAUCAAACAGGAUUAGAUACCCCAGUAGUC